AGCUUUGCGCAGUGGAAUUAUCAUAGCCAAUGAGGUUUAUCCAAGGUGCGAUUAUUGCUAAUUGAAAACAUUUGCUGUUUUUCAGUGUUCAAAUCUUUUAUUUAUUUUGCUAAGCUUAUGCCUGAUAUUUGUGUUAAUAU
Molecule: small nuclear RNA, 140 nt
Organism: Ochotona princeps (American pika)
Lineage: Eukaryota; Metazoa; Chordata; Mammalia; Lagomorpha; Ochotonidae
Product: U4 spliceosomal RNA
Exons: 1
Source: RefSeq, a predicted model, not a curated record